UACGGAGGAUGCGAGCGUUAUCCGGAUUUAUUGGGUUUAAAGGGUGCGUAGGCGGCCGAGUAAGUCAGCGGUGAAAUUUUGCAGCUUAACUGUAACAGUGCCGUUGAUACUGCAUGGCUAGGAUUUGGUUGCUGUGGGUGGAAUGUGUGGUGUAGCGGUGAAAUGCUUAGAUAUCACACAGAAUAUCAAUUGCGAAGGCAGCUCACAAAGCCAAGAUUGACGCUGAGGAACGAAAGUGUGGGGAUCAAACAGGA
RNAcentral lists this ribosomal RNA (254 nucleotides) under uncultured prokaryote. RNAcentral's name for it is "partial 16S ribosomal RNA". It matches the Rfam family "Bacterial small subunit ribosomal RNA", at positions 524 to 777 of the family's 1533-position model. The record is from RNAcentral.